GGCGGCAGGCCUAAAACAUGCAAGUCGAACGGACCUUCGGGGUUAGUGGCGGACGGGUGAGUAACACGUGGGAACGUGCCCUUUGGUUCGGAACAACUCAGGGAAACUUGAGCUAAUACCGAAUGUGCCCUACGGGGGAAAGAUUUAUCGCCAUUGGAGCGGCCCGCGUUGGAUUAGCUAGUUGGUGAGGUAAAGGCUCACCAAGGCUACGAUCCAUAGCUGGUCUGAGAGGAUGAUCAGCCACACUGGGACUGAGACACGGCCCAGACUCCUACGGGAGGCAGCAGUUAGGAAUCUUGCGCAAUGGGCGAAAGCCUGACGCAGCCAUGCCGCGUGAAUGAUGAAGGUCUUAGGAUUGUAAAAUUCUUUCAGCGGGGACGAUAAUGACGGUACCCGCAGAAGAAGCUCCGGCUAACUUCGUGCCAGCAGCCGCGGUAAUACGAAGGGGGCUAGCGUUGCUCGGAAUUACUGGGCGU
RNAcentral lists this ribosomal RNA (476 nucleotides) under uncultured Alphaproteobacteria bacterium. RNAcentral describes it as "bacterial SSU rRNA". It matches the Rfam family "Bacterial small subunit ribosomal RNA", at positions 38 to 561 of the family's 1533-position model. The record is from RNAcentral. Lineage: Bacteria; Pseudomonadati; Pseudomonadota; Alphaproteobacteria.